This 104-nucleotide microRNA precursor is filed under the name Marmota monax (woodchuck). The record is from RNAcentral. Lineage: Eukaryota; Metazoa; Chordata; Mammalia; Rodentia; Sciuridae.
AUAUGAAUCACUGAGCACCUUGUUAAAAAGCAGAUUCAAAUUUAGUAGGUUGGGUAGAGUUUGAGAGUCUGCAUUUCUACCAAGCUUCCAGGAAUGCUGCUAAU